This 21-nucleotide microRNA is filed under the name Physcomitrium patens. RNAcentral's name for it is "ppt-miR529g". Its record names the gene ppt-miR529g. The record is from miRBase by way of RNAcentral. Lineage: Eukaryota; Viridiplantae; Streptophyta; Bryopsida; Funariales; Funariaceae.
CGAAGAGAGAGAGCACAGUCC